RNAcentral lists this ribosomal RNA (250 nucleotides) under uncultured Anaerococcus sp. Its description in RNAcentral is "partial 16S ribosomal RNA". It matches the Rfam family "Bacterial small subunit ribosomal RNA", at positions 89 to 339 of the family's 1533-position model. Lineage: Bacteria; Bacillati; Bacillota; Tissierellia; Tissierellales; Peptoniphilaceae. The record is from RNAcentral.
AGAUUAGUGGCGGACGGGUGAGUAACGCGUGAGUAACCUGCCUUGUACAAGGGGAUAGCCGUUGGAAACGACGAAUAAUACCCUAUAACAUCAAAUAAUCGCAUGAUAAUUUGAUCAAAGAUUUAUCGGUAUAAGAUGGACUCGCGUCUGAUUAGCUAGUUGGUAGAGUAAAAGCCUACCAAGGCAACGAUCAGUAGCCGGCUUGAGAGAGUGUACGGCCACAUUGGGACUGAGACACGGCCCAGACUCC